UGGGGGAUAUUGCACAAUGGGCGAAAGCCUGAUGCAGCGACGCCGCGUGGGGGAUGAAGGCCUUCGGGUUGUAAACUUCUUUUGCUCUGAACAAGGCAUGCUAAUGGGUGUGUUGAGUGUAGAGGUUGAUUAGCGCCGGCUAACUACGUGCCAGCAGCCGCGGUAAUACGUAGGGCGCGAGCGUUGUCCGGAAUUAUUGGGCGUAAAGGGCUUGUAGGUGGCUGGUUGCGUCUGUCGUGAAAGCUCAUGGCUUAACUGUGGGUUUGCGGUGGGUACGGGCUGGCUUGAGUGCAGUAGGGGAGGCUGGAAUUCCUGGUGUAGCGGUGGAAUGCGCAGAUAUCAGGAGGAAUACCGGUGGCGAAGGCGGGUCUCUGGGCUGUUACUGACACUGAGGAGCGAAAGCAUGGGGAGCGAACAGG
This 419-nucleotide ribosomal RNA is filed under the name bacterium. Its description in RNAcentral is "partial 16S ribosomal RNA". It matches the Rfam family "Bacterial small subunit ribosomal RNA", at positions 355 to 776 of the family's 1533-position model. The record is from RNAcentral.